CACAACCGCCGCUUACCUCCCCGCCGGUGGUAAUUUUCCGGCGAAGCUCAAGCAUAGGUUGGUCUCUGAAAAAAUUGAGUUCAAGGGCUUUGGAUUAUUUGCUGAAAAUUUUGAACAACACUAACAAGAUUUCAAUGCUGAGAAAAGCCACGUGAACUAUAUCAAUGUUUUAUGGAGGCAUGCCAAAACCGCCUUUUGAGAAGGUGAAACCAGUAACCCGAGCUCUUCGUGACCUUGUUGCUUCAAAUGAUGAUGAAGAGGUGUUAAGAAAUGCAUGCUGGCACUUUAUUACUUUUCUGGUGCUAUGGAUGUGACUUUCAAGGCAGACUGCUCCAGCAAAGAAAUCAUUUCUCAUCCUGCUGUGAGCAAGAGUGAAAUUAUUAAGGCCGCCCUUCAAGCGGAUGUUCUUCCGGUGCUGCUUGAGCUCUUCGAAUGUUUCAGAGAUCGCUCUCGUACCAUAAUCCCCCUGCCAGCGGUACAGUUGCAAGUAUUAGCCUACGAGACAACAACCAGAAAGAGGUACGCGGGUCCAGUGUUAUCAGAGGCGAAAAGCGCAAAAAAGCUCUAAGGCCCGUUGGGGCUUUAAGCGCAAAGCACAAAUAAA
This is a long non-coding RNA of Nicotiana tabacum (common tobacco), 604 nucleotides long. RefSeq lists it as uncharacterized. NCBI's taxonomy places the organism in Eukaryota, Viridiplantae, Streptophyta, Magnoliopsida, Solanales, Solanaceae. The record is from RefSeq and is a predicted model, not a curated record.